GAUGAACGCUGGCGGCGUGCCUAAUACAUGCAAGUCGAGCGAACGGACGAGAAGCUUGCUUCUCUGAUGUUAGCGGCGGACGGGUGAGUAACACGUGGAUAACCUACCUAUAAGACUGGGAUAACUUCGGGAAACCGGAGCUAAUACCGGAUAAUAUUUUGAACCGCAUGGUUCAAAAGUGAAAGACGGUCUUGCUGUCACUUAUAGAUGGAUCCGCGCUGCAUUAGCUAGUUGGUAAGGUAACGGCUUACCAAGGCAACGAUGCAUAGCCGACCUGAGAGGGUGAUCGGCCACACCGGAACUGAGACACGGGCCAGGCUCCUACGGGAGGCAGCAGUAGGGAAUCUUCCGCAAAGGGCGAAAGCCUGACGGAGCAACGCCGCGUGAGUGAUGAAGGUCUUCGGAUCGUAAAACUCUGUUAUUAGGGAAGAACAUAUGUGGAAGUAACUGGUCACAUCUUGACGGUACCUAAUCAGAAAGCCACGGCUAACUACGUG
RNAcentral lists this ribosomal RNA (497 nucleotides) under uncultured bacterium. RNAcentral describes it as "partial 16S ribosomal RNA". It matches the Rfam family "Bacterial small subunit ribosomal RNA", at positions 28 to 507 of the family's 1533-position model. The record is from RNAcentral.